Molecule: ribosomal RNA, 594 nt
Filed under: Triticum aestivum (bread wheat)
Lineage: Eukaryota; Viridiplantae; Streptophyta; Magnoliopsida; Poales; Poaceae
Description: partial small subunit ribosomal RNA
Source: RNAcentral
AUGCUCUCCGCACUUGACUCAAUUAGGCUUUGGCAGUUUUACGCUAGGUGUGGUGGUACCUUGCCUGUGCCGAGUGAUCAGACAGACUGUGAAGUCUACCGGUCGACCCCGCCCCCACCAGCAAUUCUAUCGCCCCCACCGCCAUCACCGCACCAGUCGCUCUCACCACCCUCACCACGCAUGACCACUGCUGCAAAGCCUCAUUCGGUGGCCUCCUCUCUUAGUGAGUCUUGGCAACGCAUCGCGGAUAAGGUGGGGAAUGCGCCCAGGGGGCUGUAUAUCGUGUUAGGCGUCAUCUUGGCCCUUUCUGCAGUCAUUGGGAUUGGAAUCUAUCUGCAGUUACGUAGUCGAGCGUCUACAUCACGUACGGGGUCCUCGGCAGCACCAGCACAGGCGGGGCCCAAAGGAUCACGACAAGGUGGAGAAGCGAUAAAAGAAACGAACCGAGAAGUUGAGAUGUCCCGUCGACAGCAAUUCGCAGCGGGCACUAAGGUGCACUCACGCCGUUCUUCCAUGACCGUACAGGCGGCCCCACUAUUUCCACCGGAAGUACCAGUACCGAGUGCCCCUCCGGCGCCCAUAGCUUUAAUGUGA